GGGCGGUUACCCAAGUGGCCAAAGGGGCCUGACUGUAAAUCAGCUGGCAUAAGCCUUCGUAGGUUCGAAUCCUGCACCGCCCA
Molecule: transfer RNA, 83 nt
Filed under: Anaerolineaceae bacterium
Lineage: Bacteria; Bacillati; Chloroflexota; Anaerolineae; Anaerolineales; Anaerolineaceae
Description: tRNA-Tyr
Rfam family: tRNA
About the family: Transfer RNA (tRNA) molecules are approximately 80 nucleotides in length. Their secondary structure includes four short double-helical elements and three loops (D, anti-codon, and T loops).
Source: RNAcentral